This 363-nucleotide unclassified non-coding RNA is filed under the name uncultured bacterium. RNAcentral describes it as "contains 16S-23S intergenic spacer region". The record is from RNAcentral.
UCCCUGUUGCCAGGGCAGUCUAGCUAGAAAAAUACAACUAACUAUAAGGGUUGCGCUCGUUGAAGGACUUAACCUAACAUCUCACGACACGAGCUGACGACGGCCAUGCAACACCUGUCACUUGGUUCCAAAGGCACUCUCUCCUUUCGGAGAAAUUCCAAGGAUGUCAAGCCUGGGUAAGGUUCUUCGCUUACCAUCGAAUUAAACAACACGCUCCACCGCUUGUGCGGGUCCCCGUCAAUUCCUUUAUGUUUUAGCCUUGCGGCCGUACUCCCCAGGCGGGAUGCUUAAUGCGUUAGCUUCGGCACGGAAGGGGUCGAUGUCCCCCCACACCUAGUGCCCAUCGUUUACAGCGUGGACUAC